This 880-nucleotide ribosomal RNA is filed under the name Cercopithifilaria rugosicauda. Its description in RNAcentral is "partial 28S ribosomal RNA". It matches the Rfam family "Eukaryotic large subunit ribosomal RNA", at positions 65 to 674 of the family's 3401-position model. The record is from RNAcentral. Lineage: Eukaryota; Metazoa; Nematoda; Chromadorea; Rhabditida; Onchocercidae.
CUAACGAGGAUUUCCCUAGUAACGGCGAGUGAAAAGGAAAAAGCCCAACGCUGAAUCCAAUAGAUAUUUUAUUGCUAUAUGGAAAUGUAGCGUAUAGGUUUAACUAAUCGUAACAUAUUUUUACACCCAAAGUCCCCUUGAGCGGGGCUACAGUCCAUAGAAGGUGCUAGACCUGUACGGGUGAAAAAAAGUUACGAUAGGUUUAUACCUUAGAGUCGGGUUGUUUGAGAUUGCAGCCCAAAGAGGGUGGUAAACCUCAUCUAAGGCUAAAUACGACCACGAGACCGAUAGCAAACAAGUACCGUGAGGGAAAGUUGCAAAGAACUUUGAAGAGAGAGUUCAAGAGGGCGUGAAACCGCUGAGAUGGAAACGGAUAGAGUUAACGAAACUUAUCGGUAUUCAACCAAUCAAUUUAGCAAUUAUCUUUAAUGCAUUUUUUUUUUAUAUUUUUAUUCAUGUAAUAAUGAAUGAAAAAAAAAAAAAAUGAUUUUUAAAAAUAAAAAAUGCUAAAAAAUUUAAAAUGAUUGGUGUAUUUACCGAUGGUAUGCAUUGAGAGCUUCGUUUAUUUUGCAUAUUUAAAAUUUUAUAUUUAGKGGACCAAUUAUUGUUUGUAAAUAAUUGAAAUCCUAAAUAUAAUAAUGAAAUAUGUCUUAAAUGAAGUUUUUAUAUUCCCAAUUAAUGUAACUCUCACUUGAAAUAAUAGUGAAAUGCAUUGAUUAUAAUUUUUACUAAUUAUAUUUAAUAUGGUGGUCGCAUGCGACUUUAGCAAAUAAAUAUUUAAUUAGUAAWAUAANAAUAUAAAGGCCUUUUUAUUGAGUUCCCUCCCCACGGGGACCGUUAAUCACCUAUCUGACCCGUCUUGAACCCCGGACCAAGGAGU